CGCCAUCCAUUAAUUUGCAUAUCACCAUGCCACUACAGUUAUUUUUUUCCCGUGUGCUGUGCUAUCAUGAAGCACUAAGAAGCUGCAUUAAAACAGAAUCAAAAGAAGUGCUGGGAAAGGGCGGAGCGCGGAGGCCUCGCCGGGUCUUUCACCUCCAGCCGCCGCCUCCGACUCUACCCUCACGGGCGCGAGGCUGCUGGGCAUGCUGGGAGUUGGACGGCGCCUGGCAACAGUCUCCAGCGGCAACGAGGAGGCCGCCAUGGCGGAGCGGCCGAGCAAACACUCGCUGGAUAUAGCUGACCUAUAGCUAAAUAAGAAGAGAGUUAGGGCCUGUCUGCGGGAAUACAAUGGCCGAGAGUUUGGGGUCACGGCCAAGGGCAGAAUGUAGUGAGUGAGGGAGAGUCAGCCAGCUUAGCUAGAGAGUCUCCCUGCCUCUUUAUUUAAUACUUAUUUAUCAGAGAAUAUAAGAAAUUCUCUGUAUGAGAAUUGCCAGCUAACAGCUAGCUGUUUGUAGGCUAUUUAAUAGUCUUUCUUUAUAGCUCCAGUUGUAUAUAUCUGGAUUAAUAUUACUACAAUUAUAGAUUAGGUGGCUAAUUAACUAACUAACUAGCAUUUAAUAAUAUAUGGUUACAAAUAGCAGCAAAAUGUCCCAUCAAAUAUUACCAAACGUUGGUGUGUGUGUUUACGUUUGUUAAUGUUGAUAAUAGGGGAAAAAAUGCAUUUAAACAGUCUUUAUUUAAUCAUGGCCAAAGGCAAAUGUUAAAAUUUGCAAAAAGAUCAUUGUCGUAGGCUAUUUUAUUGAGGACAUUACGUUUUUUUAAUGGUUAUGAUGAAAAACAAUGUUUUUUUGCAGUCUUUAUUUUAUCAGAAUAUGAGAAUUCCCUGUAUAAGAAUUGUGGGUUAGCUAUUUGGUCUGUAUCCAGAUUAGUAUUACUAAAAAUAUAUAUUGGAUUCAUUUAUUUAUGGUUACAAAUAGCAAAAUACACCAUCAAAUAUUAGUAAAUGGUAAUAUAUAUCAUAGAAUAUAAGAUUUCUCUGUAUGGGAAAUGUGGGCUAGCUGUUAAUGAGUGAGUUAGUCAGCUAGGGUCAAGUCUGUCUGUCUAGUCAGCUAGUCUGUCUUUUUCCUAAUUUACUAUUUAUUGCCAGAAAAUUCCCUUUAUGCGUACUGUGGGCAGUUGGUGGGUUCUUCAGUGUCAGAGUUAGCUACAGCUAUGAACCUAGCUAUGGCUACAUAAAUUCCCCAUUCUGAAAUUGUCCCUACAUUAAUGUAUAGAAAGAUUGAACUCGUCAGUCAGCUCGUUAACUUGUUACAACCUUUAUACCAGUUAAAUCAGUAACUUUCUGGGUUAUUUGGCUAAUCAUUUCAUUUUUGCUGGGCAUUGCAGUUCAAGAGCUAAU
Long non-coding RNA from Astyanax mexicanus (Mexican tetra), 1398 nucleotides. RefSeq lists it as uncharacterized. The record is from RefSeq and is a predicted model, not a curated record. Lineage: Eukaryota; Metazoa; Chordata; Actinopteri; Characiformes; Acestrorhamphidae. The transcript has 2 exons.